This 429-nucleotide ribosomal RNA is filed under the name Pseudomonadota bacterium. Its description in RNAcentral is "Proteobacteria bacterium partial 16S ribosomal RNA". It matches the Rfam family "Bacterial small subunit ribosomal RNA", at positions 355 to 776 of the family's 1533-position model. The record is from RNAcentral. Lineage: Bacteria; Pseudomonadati; Pseudomonadota.
UGGGGAAUAUUGGACACUGGGCGAAAGCCUGAUCCAGCCAUGCCGCGUGUGUGAAGAAGGUCUUCGGAUUGUAAAGCACUUUAAGUUGGGAGGAAGGGCAGUAAGCGAAUACCUUGCUGUUUUGACGUUACCGACAGAAUAAGCACCGGCUAACUCUGUGCCAGCAGCCGCGGUAAUACAGAGGGUGCAAGCGUUAAUCGGAAUUACUGGGCGUAAAGCGCGCGUAGGUGGUUCGUUAAGUUGAAUGUGAAAGCCCCGGGAUCAACCUGGGAACUGCAUCCAAAACAGGCGAGCGAGAGUAGGGCAGAGGGUGGUGGAAUUUGCUGUGUAGCGGUGAAAUGCGUAGAUAUAGGAAGGAACACAAGUGGCGAAGGCGACCACCUGGGCUCAUACUGACACUGAGGUGCGAAAGCGUGGGGAGCAAACAGG